AAUUUAAUAGCUUAAAAGAAAAGAGUAGAGUUUUGAAGAGACUUUGGUGAAAAUAUUUUCUUAAAUUA
RNAcentral lists this transfer RNA (68 nucleotides) under Bipalium kewense. RNAcentral's name for it is "tRNA-Phe". The record is from RNAcentral. Lineage: Eukaryota; Metazoa; Platyhelminthes; Tricladida; Geoplanidae.